Microcebus murinus (gray mouse lemur) is the source of this 278-nucleotide non-coding RNA. The record is from RefSeq and is a predicted model, not a curated record. NCBI's taxonomy places the organism in Eukaryota, Metazoa, Chordata, Mammalia, Primates, Cheirogaleidae.
CGCUAACAAACGCCGUCUGGCUCUGGCGUUUCAGGGCACGUGGGGGCGCCGCUGCCUUGCAACCACAUCAAGCUCGUGGACGUCGAGGAACUGAACUACUGGGCCUCCGAAGGAGAGGGAGAGAUAUGUGUGAGAGGACCAAACGUGUUCAAGGGCUACUUGAAAGACGAGGACAGGACCAAGGAGGCCCUGGACAGUGACGGCUGGCUUCACACCGGGGACAUCGGGAAGUGGCUGCCGACAGGAACUCUUAAAUUAUCGACGGAAAAAGCACAUAU